This 637-nucleotide ribosomal RNA is filed under the name uncultured organism. RNAcentral describes it as "SSU rRNA". It matches the Rfam family "Bacterial small subunit ribosomal RNA", at positions 37 to 674 of the family's 1533-position model. The record is from RNAcentral.
UGGCGGCGUGCUUAACACAUGCAAGUCGAACGAAGCGAUUUAGCGGAAGUUUUCGGAUGGAAGCUAGAUUGACUGAGUGGCGGACGGGUGAGUAACGCGUGGGUAACCUGCCUCACACUGGGGGACAACAGUUAGAAAUGACUGCUAAUACCGCAUAAGCGCACAGGACCGCAUGGUCCGGUGUGAAAAACUCCGGUGGUGUGAGAUGGACCCGCGUUUGAUUAGCUAGUUGGUGGGGUAACGGCCUACCAAGGCGACGAUCAAUAGCCGACCUGAGAGGGUGACCGGCCACAUUGGGACUGAGACACGGCCCAAACUCCUACGGGAGGCAGCAGUGGGGAAUAUUGCACAAUGGGGGAAACCCUGAUGCAGCGACGCCGCGUGAGUGAAGAAGUAUUUCGGUAUGUAAAGCUCUAUCAGCAGGGAAGAAAAUGACGGUACCUGACUAAGAAGCCCCGGCUAACUACGUGCCAGCAGCCGCGGUAAUACGUAGGGGGCAAGCGUUAUCCGGAUUUACUGGGUGUAAAGGGAGCGUAGACGGUAAAGCAAGUCUGAAGUGAAAGCCCGGGGCUCAACCCCGGGACUGCUUUGGAAACUGUUUAACUAGAGUGCUGGAGAGGUAAGCGGAAUUCCUAGU